UACGUAGGGGGCAAGCGUUGUCCGGAUUUAUUGGGCGUAAAGAGCGUGUAGGCGGCCAGGUAGGUCGGUUGUGAAAACUGGAGGCUCAACCUUCAGAGGUCGACCGAAACCAUCUGGCUAGAGUCCGGGAGAGGAGAGUGGAAUUCCUGGUGUAGCGGUGAAAUGCGCAGAUAUCAGGAAGAACACCCGUGGCGAAAGCGGCUCUCUGGAACGGUACUGACGCUGAGACGCGAAAGCGUGGGGAGCGAAACAGGAUUAAG
RNAcentral lists this ribosomal RNA (260 nucleotides) under uncultured bacterium. RNAcentral describes it as "partial 16S ribosomal RNA". It matches the Rfam family "Bacterial small subunit ribosomal RNA", at positions 524 to 782 of the family's 1533-position model. The record is from RNAcentral.